RNAcentral lists this ribosomal RNA (253 nucleotides) under uncultured bacterium. Its description in RNAcentral is "partial 16S ribosomal RNA". It matches the Rfam family "Bacterial small subunit ribosomal RNA", at positions 524 to 776 of the family's 1533-position model. The record is from RNAcentral.
UACGUAGGGGGCAAGCGUUGUCCGGAUUUAUUGGGCGUAAAGAGCUCGUAGGUGGUUUGUCGCGUUGUUCGUGAAAACUCACAGCUCAACUGUGGGCGUGCGGGCGAUACGGGCAGACUUGAGUACUGCAGGGGAGACUGGAAUUCCUGGUGUAGCGGUGGAAUGCGCAGAUAUCAGGAGGAACACCGGUGGCGAAGGCGGGUCUCUGGGCAUUACCUGACGCUGAGGAGCGAAAGUGUGGGGAGCGAACAGG